This is a non-coding RNA of Triticum urartu, 1286 nucleotides long. NCBI's taxonomy places the organism in Eukaryota, Viridiplantae, Streptophyta, Magnoliopsida, Poales, Poaceae. The record is from RefSeq and is a predicted model, not a curated record.
AUAAAGCGCGACGUGCAGACCACAGUAGAAACUUCAGGACCCGCCCCCAACCUAACCCGCCUCGUACCGCCGGAGGCAGCCGUCGCGGGCGAGCGAGCGACGGCGGCAGCCGGAGCGAGGGAGCCCGCGGCGCCAUGACGGGUCGCUCCUCCGACCCACGCGCUGACGCCGGCCGGCCGGCCGGCCGCCCCCCGCCUCCAACCUUCGACGUCGCGCCGCGCCGCGCCCCCGCCCUCCCACAUCCAGAGACCCGCCGCGCCCCCCGCCCGACUCCCUCCCCAGCGACGCGCCGCCGCCCGACCUCCUCCCCGGCGCGUCGCCGCCCGGCUCCCUCCCCGGCGACGCACCUCCAGACUCCUUCUUUCCCCGCCAAUGUAUGUUGCGUGACCCGAGCGCCCAGCUGCAGCAUACGAGGUUGCGCGCCGCCGCCGGACCAACCGUCCCCGUCAGGAUCCCCCGCCUCCCACCGUGGCUCCUCGCUGCCACCAUGGGAUCCCAGCCGACAGGCUCCCCAGAGUGCCCCGUGCCCGGCCGCCUCGCUUCCAUCACCGGUCGUCGCCCCUCCACCAUGCCUCCUCCCACAACCCCGAUCCAGAUCCAGCGACCUCCACGAGGAUGCAUGUCAGUCUCGCCAUGGUCACAUUGGUAGUCCAACUGGUCGCCCCAUGGCCGGUCGCUCAAAGUGCUGCGUAUAGGCCACCCCGUGCUCUACCCCUGGGCCUGGCUCAAACUUGAAGCAAAGGAGAUGAGAUGCUACAAAAAAGGUGGUCAGUCCAGCUCCUGCAACCAACACAGGUCGUUGCCCCUUUUGCCACAACGGCAGGAGCACGAACACGAGUGUGGUCGUCCUCAACCAGUUCCUCACACGGCCUCCGCGCAAGCCCUGCUCAUGUAUGCUUACACCAAAAGUAAAACUCUUGCUACUCUCCUCAUACUUGCACUUGCUUAUUUUCUAAGCACUAAUCCUAUUGCUUCCUCUUGGGGAAAGGGAUCCCAUGUUGAAGCUAUCUUGGUGCUCACACGCUGUUUAUAUUCAUCACCAUAGUGUACGAAACAUAUGAAAACCAUUCUGGCUUCAGAGAAAAUAUAACCAGUACAUGUGCAAUUGCACGAGAAGUUCCCUUAUGAAAGUUCCUUGUAAACAAACCACAUGAAAGUUCAGCGAGAGAAACUUUGUAAGUUCAAGAUGGCUAUAGAAAAACUUUGUAGGUUCAGAUGGGUAUAGAAAACUUUGUAAAUUUAUUUUCUCAAUGUACUUAUGAUGUCCAGUUUCUUUUUUUAGUUCA